GGAAAGGCAAUGCUUAGCCUUAUACAAGGUGAGGGCGGUGCCUAGCCCAAUUCCAGGAGUGGAGACAAUGCUUAGUCUCAUGCAGGAGAAGGAGACCGCGCUUAGCCUCUGGCAAAUAAGGUAGUGCUUAGCCUUAUGCAAGGUGAGGGCAGUGCAUAGCCCUAUGCAAGGAGUGGAGACAAUGCUUAGUCUCAUGCAAAGAAAGGCAACGUUUAGCCUUAUGCAAUGGUGAAGGCAGUGUUUAGCCCUAUGCAAAGAGUGGAGACAAUGCUUGGUCUAAUGUAAGGAAAGGAGACAAUGCCUAGUCUCAUGCAAUGAAAGGAGACAAUGCUUAGUCUCUGGCAAGGAAAAGCAAUGCUUAGCCUUAUACAAGGUGAGGGCGGUGCCUAGCCCUAUGCAAGGAGUGGAGACAAUGCUUAGUCUCAUGUAGGAAAAGGAGACCGGGCUUAACCUCUGGCAAAGAAGGCAGUGCUUAGCCUUAUGCAAGGGGUGGGUAGUGCCUAACCCUAUGCAAGGAAUGGAGACAAUGCUUAGUCUCACGCAAAGAAAGGCAACGUUUAGCCUUAUGCAAUGGUGAGGGCAGUGUUGAGCCCUAUGCAAAGAGUUCAGACAAUGGUUAGUCUCAUGCAAGGAAAGGAGACAAUGUCUAGUCUCAUGCAAGGAAAGGAGACAAUGCUUAGUCUCUGUCAAGGAAAGGCAAUGCUUAGCCUUAUACAAGGUUAGGGCGGUGCCUAGUCCUAUGCAAGGAGUGGAGACAAUGCUUUGUCUCAUGCAGGGAAAGGAGACCGUGCUUAGCUUCUGGCAAAGAAUGUACUGCGUAUCCUUAUGCAAGGUGAGGGCAGUGCAUAGCCCUAUGCAAGGAGUGGAGACAAUGCUUAGUCUCAUGCAAAGUAAGGCAACGUUUAGCCUUAUGUAAUGGUAAGGGCAGUGUUUAGCCCUAUGCAAAUAGUGGAGACAAUGCUUAGUCUAAUGUAAGGAAAGAACACAAUGCUUAGUCUCUGGCAAGAAAAGGCAAUGCUUAGCCUUAUACAAGGUGAGGGCGGUGCCUAGCCCUAUGCAAGGAAUGGAGACAAUGCUUAGUCUCAUGCAAAUAAAGGCAAUGUUUAGCCUUAUGCAAUGGUGAGGGAAGUGUUUAGACCUAUGCAAAGAGUGU
This 1153-nucleotide long non-coding RNA is filed under the name Nicotiana tabacum (common tobacco). RNAcentral describes it as "long non-coding RNA (NTAB_LNC018905)". Lineage: Eukaryota; Viridiplantae; Streptophyta; Magnoliopsida; Solanales; Solanaceae. The record is from RNAcentral.